RNAcentral lists this long non-coding RNA (11834 nucleotides) under Ananas comosus (pineapple). RNAcentral's name for it is "long non-coding RNA (ACOM_LNC041802)". The record is from RNAcentral. Lineage: Eukaryota; Viridiplantae; Streptophyta; Magnoliopsida; Poales; Bromeliaceae.
UUUUGAAAAUCUCUAAUUCAUUGUAUAUAUAGUUUCAGUUAAUUUAUAUAGAAUAAACUAAUUUUGACUUUAAAAUAAGUGGGUGAUAAAUAUUAUAUAACUGGAUGGGUUGAGUAUUAUUACUCAAAAAUUAGUUAUUUGUUGGCGUAAAUCAUGCUAGGUAUAUAUAUAGUGUAUUCAUAGUUUCAUUCAGGAUUGUGAAGCUUCUAAAAGUAGGUAUCGUUCACCCACACUUGAUUAACUUAAUUAAUAAAAUUUAUUAAUAUUAUUACUUUGGCCAAUAAUGAAAAAACCGUGACACUUCUCCCACACAUAAAAAAAUAUUCCUAACCAUCAACAUACACACUCUAAUCAUUAAUUAAUUCUAAACAAAUAUUUAAUUUCUACCAAAGUUUAGCCACAUCUAUUUUAUUUAAAAAAUAUAUCGAGAGUAUAUGAGGCGAUCGGUUGUGACAUGAGUAUCAUUGUAAUUAAUUAAGUUUACAAUUAAUUGGUAAUUCUCACUAAAAUACUUAAUUAAAUAAUAAAUUUAGAUGUUUUGGUGUAAGUAAGCGAUUGUAACAUAAGUUGUGUGCAUUAAGUAUAAUUAAAAUAUUAGUUACGAAUUAAAUUAGAGGUUUUUAAUUAUGCGAGACAUAAGUUGUGAACUAACUUUAGGUAGCAGCAUUUUAAAUUAUUUUUUAAAAAAGAAAAUUAAAGAUGUGGAUCGUUCGACGCCUAUAUUUCAAAAUGGUGUUGCAAAUAUUCAACUCUUUUUCUCCUAUAUUUUGAGAAAUGGGUUGACCAUAUGCAUGAUUAAUUAACUACUAGGUAUUAAUUAAGUCAUAGUGUUGAGCUUUAAUUAGUUCAUUAUGAUCAUUUCUUGUCCUAUAUUAAUGAGUUUAAGGUCACAUAAAUGAAUCUCAUAAUAGAUAUCUCCAAUUAUAUAUGGACGGAAAAAUCUCAAUCAAUUUAUUAAAGUUUUAGCUUUUUAUGCUUUUUUUUUUUUAACCCUUCUUUAAUUUAUUGAAAUAAAGUGUUUAUUGAAAUAUCCCUUGUGUUGCAUAAAAUGAUUAUUCCUCGGCAAAAGUAAUUCCCUACACAUGUAAACCUUAGACUAUAUAGCAUCCCACUAAUAUAUUGGAUAAAUGCUCCUCCCAAUAUCAAUUGGUGAGUGAUGUAUAUAGUAAUUCCAAUAGCAGAAGCAAUCGAGAGAGAGAAGGAUAUAUAUACUUUAAUAUUGGUGAAUCCCUAGGUUAUUAUUAUAUAAAUAUAAGUAGAUUAGUUGAGAUAAAGAAGCAACUCCAUAGAGCAUAAUUAAACACAUCAUCUUUAAAUGACUACAACAGCAAUAGUUUAAUAUUCCAGCUGAUGUAACAUGCUUAGAAUACUUAAAUCUACCUCACUCAAUAUGCAUGAAUAUUAAUUUGGAUAUUCCUUUUGAUUUAUUAAAUUAUUUUGUAGUCCUUUCCUUGUUUUUCUUUUCUUUUUCUAAUGCAGCAUCUAAUGAUUCCCUCAUCUGGUGCUGCAACUCGGCUGAGAAUUGGCAUUUUAUUGACAUAAAAAUUAAGCUGAUUAAAAUUAUUUACUUUUUCUUAAAUAUUAUUUCAUGAUAUGCAAUAUUGUAAUAUAGUAUAGAAUAUAUAUAGAGUACGUCUCCUCUACUUUCGAAAGUACGGAGGUUUCCGUACUUGUAAGUUAUUUUUGAUGAAACGAUAUCCGAUUCGAUGAUCGGCUCCGUUAGAUAUAAUCUAUCCUAUUGAAACUAUCUAGAAAUCUAAUUUCAUAUUUUUUUGACAUCAUUUACCGAUCAAACGAUCUCAAAAUCGACUAUUUUAAUGGUCGAUGUGGCAUGUUUUGAAGUUCAAUUGUGUAGAACAAUCCAAAUUACAUAAAACAUGAAUAGAAAAUUUUACUUUAUAUCAAUAGUAAGAUGAAUACUUGUGAUUUGAAAUUUGAGUAUUUUAUCACUAUUUUUUAUGAAAUUUUUAUUUUUAGUCUUUCAUUUUUAGGCAACUCAUUCAUUAGACAAAUAAACUCAAAAAAUUAUAAAAUUUGGUUUCUAAAUAGUUUCAAUAACGUAGAUCAUAUUUAACGGAACCAAAUCACCGAAUCAAAUAUACCAUCAUUGAAAAUAACUUAUAAGUACGGAGGCCUCCGUACUUACAAAAAUAUAGGAGCCUCUCUCUCUCUCUCUCUCUCUCUCUCUCUCUCUCUCUAUAUAUAUAUAUAUAUAUAUUAUGACCUAAUGUGUUUAUUAAGAGAUUACCUCAUACAUGAUUGGAUAACAAAAUAAUGAUCUUUCAUUUUUUUUGGGAAUUUUACUUCACACUUAAAAUGUGAGAAAUGCUUUUUUUUUUUUUUAAGAGAGAAAGAUAGGCUUGCUAUCUGUUUCGUUCAUAGCGAAUAUGAACUGAGUUAUAGAGACAGGAUAACUGGUCUCGAGAAUUAGAAAUGUCCUAAAAAUAUGAAAAAUGUUGAAGUUCCACAUGUUAUCAAAAUAGAAUAUUGUAUGUUCAAAUCACAUGUACAAAACCACAUUUUGAGGUUAAAUGUGAGGAGUGUUGAGAUCUAAGUUUUAGUUCCUUGAGGUUUAGCCCAUGCUUAGGUUAUUAAACAAAAAGAAAAGGGAGAGAAUCUUGGAAAAAAAUACCUAAAUGGAGCUAUCCUUUACCUUGAAUAAGAUCGGCCGAGAUCUUAGUAGGUCCUAGUAUCACUUAAUUAAACAGUAGAGGAACUUGAUGUUAUUAACAACUCAACAUAUUACCAAGAGAAUAAUCCAAAUCCAAAAGUUGUUACCUAGUUUUCUAGUUCUAUAUAUGUAUAUUCAACAAUUUUCACAUGCACAUGCAUGCUUAUCUAUAUAAGAGAAAUCGAAAGAACAAAAGAUCGAUAACUUAUUUUCAUGGCAUUAAUAUUUUGAAUUAACACUAGAUAGCUUUUAUUCCGACGCAAAUGUAAUACAACAAAUUAGAGCACCAUGAACUUAGGUCAACAUCAAUAUUAAUAAUUUUAAAGCCAAAGUGCUUUUGAAAAUACUGCUAAACAGAAUAAUCAAGCAACUCAUAGAAGGAGUUGAAAUAUAUAUAGAUUCGACUGAAAUAGAAAUUAAACAUCGAUACAUCCGUCGCAUACUGUUGAAAUUUAAUAAUUUAAACCAAAGUUUGCAACAAGACCAAAGUAACUAAUAAUGCAAAUUAAUUAAAUAACCCACCCUUGAUGUUAAUUUCUUGUGUGAUGGAGGAUCCCAGCAGGAUCACAAAGGGGGCCACAUCACAUGUAAGGAAUUAAGCUUAUUAUUAUAGUGGAUUGAUGUGGUGGUGGUGUCUUGCUUAGAUGCAAAUGAGAUUAGAUUAUUAUAAUAUUUAAGUACAUAUAUAUAGAUAUAUUUACAUAUAUAAUAAAUAUAUAAGGGGUCUUUUCAAUUGAAAGGUCUUCCUCAACGCAUUGUGGGAUAGUUUAGACAAGCGCAGAUGUGCUCUCCUUUUCAUCUAAAUUAUCUUAUUUAAAGAGGGAGAGCCACCAACAAAUUCAUACAUUUUAAUUAACCUCCUUUAAAUUAAAUUCAUUACCAACCUAGGAGGUUUAAUUUCCAUGUAAUUAUGAUGGGGUGCUUUGGCAAUAAAUUGCCCUAUUUGUCACUAAAAUAUGCCUUAUAUUUCAUUUUAAUUUUUAAAUUACUCACAAAAUCUGUUAGUUACGUGCCAGCGAAAUAUUGUUUACAUGAAAAUGCUAAAAUAGUCAUUGACUGAGAAUGUAUAAAAAUGCAAUUGACCUAAUAUAUUACGAUUUUUGUCAUGGUCAGAUCUUUCUUCACUCAUAAUUAAUAAGUAUAGAAAAUAAUUACGUGGCAUGUCAUAUUUCAUUUUAUUGUCAUGGGAGACAUGAUAGGGCUAAGGUUAAAAUAAUAUUGAUUGUUUAAUCUCUCGAAUGCAUGUAUGUUGAACUUUUGGGGAUCAAAAUGAAGUGUGAGCUAGUAAUAGUUUUUCAUUUUUAGAGAAAAUUAGCUAGUAAUACUUAGAGACAUUGAGGUAAUCGACUCAUAAUAUAAUUAAUAUUACAUAAUAGAUAAUCAAAUAAUUAUAUUCAGAUAUGAAUUGAAUUUAAAUAUACUGAUCACUCAGUUGAUCGGCUUGUUUCGACCUGCUUCUAUAAUAAUAUUUUUAUUUUCAAAAAAAUUGAAGAUCUAGAAUUUUUGACGUGAGAGAAAACAAAGUAAGUUUUUUAGAAUUUAGAAGUACUAGAAACCUAAACUUAUUUUUAUUUUUUUGUUUCGUGUAAAGCAGGAGAUUAUUUGAAAAAAAAAAACCCCUCUUGUUUCUAUUUCAAACAAAUUACUUCAAAUAAUCUCACGCAAAUUCUCUAGUGGAUCGAGGUCGAAACCAUAUAUGUUGAGUCCGAAGAUGGCCAUGGACACCCUGAAGGCUUUGAAAAUUAUAUUUUAGUCCCUAAUGUUGUUUUAAAGUCUUGUGGGGCAAAUAGAUUUUUUAAAUAAAGAUAAUGAGGUUGCUUAAUAAAGUUUUGGUGUUGGCCCAAUAUUUGGGAACCAUGUACUCUUUAAACUUAUCUUUGUCUAGGGAAAUAUAUUUGAUAGCUUAGCAAGUUAUUUAAUAAUUAAUUUGUCCAACCUUUCUUGCAAUAAAAUACUCAGCACUUACAGAAUAGAUUUAUAAUUUUUUCUUUUUCAAAUAUAUAUAUAUAUAUAUAUAUAUAUAUAAUAACUAACAAAUAUAAUUAAGAGAUUUUUGUUAGAUUGUUGGCGCUAACUAUUAAUCCCAAUGGCUGGAGCUGUUAGAAAUAUGCAAGUAAUUCACUAAAAAUGUACAGAUACAGUGCUCACGGGUCUCGAUUGUGAUUCGGUCCACCCAACCUUUCGUCAUUUCGAAUAUGACUAGGCUCAACAUGGCACACAACCAAUUCACUUAAAGCGUACAGAUAUAGUGCCCACGGGUCUCGAUUGUGACUCGGCCCACCUAGCCUUAAGCCACUUCGAACAUGAUUCGACUCAACAUGGCAUUCCACCAUAGAGCAGGAUGCUGGCUUAUUUAAGCCAACAAUCUCCCUUCCAGUACUUGCACACAUUUGCUAUUUGCAACAUGCGGGAAUCGAAAACAGUAAUUUUUGGCUCUGAUACCACUUUUGAGAUCGUUGGCGCUAACCAUUAAUCCCAAAAGCUCGAACUGUAAAAAUAAGCAACCAAUUCACUUAAAAUAUACAUAUACAACGUCAAUGGAUCUCGAUUGUGACUCGGUCCAUCCAGCCUAAAGACGCUUCAAACAUGAUUCGAUCCACCUAACCUCACGGUAUUUUGAACAUGACUCGGCCCAAUGUAAUCUCCUGCCACGGGGCGAAAAUUUUUCAACUAAAAUUAUAAUUUUCUAUUAACUAAAAAUUAUACUUCUGGCCUUUUCUUUGGUAAAAUUCUGGCUUGGAUCCUCUAAACAAGCAUCAACAUCCACAGGCAACUUCAUUCAUAUCUUAUUGGAUAUCGUAUCUCUAAGGCAAUAAAUUUUCUUUAACCACGGGCGAAAGGUAAUAAUCUUUUCCCCGUGAAAGGUAAUAAAGUUUAAAGAAAAAUAUCUUCGCCUUGAAUAAAAAAUAAUGAUAGGUAGAUGUUCAAGAAGGAAAUGAGUAGAAAGAGAUGUAUGCUAUUGAGAUGUCCUCUUUUACAAAUUUUCAAAUAGAAUAAUUAACCCAUGUUUUAGAUAGAAUUAAACCAAGUGCUAAUUUUGAUUAAUCAAGGGCUAAGCAAAGCCAUUGCAUGGGUCAUUCUCAAUUGGAUUAUCGUACUAAUUAGGCGAAAAGAAAUACACCGAGACCCACUCCACUAUAGGACGUUUUGAAAUUGGCCCCCAACUUUACCUUUUAAUGAUUGAAACCCCUUUUGAUUUAAAAAAUUCUAUUAAUUUUAGCCUUUAACUAUUUGUUAUUUUAUUUAAUUAUUAAGAAUAAUUAAAAGUUAUUAAAUUUAAUAAAAUCAUUAAUAAAUUUGCUAAAAUUUCAAAUAUAGUUAGAUUUCAAAAACUUGAUGGAAAAAAUAAAAAGUUAGUAAGGUACUUCCCAUACAUUUUUUACUUAGGUUAGUUGCAUACAACUUUCUAUAAAUAUAUCGAAUAGUAGAUAUAUUCUUACAAAGUUUAGUUUUUUAUUUUUAUCCUUAUAAAAGUCUUCCAGUUUUCAAAUAUAUCCUUACUGUUAAGAUUCGUUUGAAAAAUAUAAUUAACCAUGAAUAAAAUAUUUAACUUUGGUUAGUGGCUGAAUUAAAUUGACCUGUUUACCCCUCUUAUAUUAUUAGGUAAAAUAUUUUCUGGAAGAACAUUUUUGCAUAAUGGGCUUUCGAAUGAAUAUAUUUAUAAGGAUAAAAAUAUUAUUUUACUUAUCUUUUGUAAAAAAUAAACAGUGCUCGAAACGUAACAAAUCAAAAGGGCAAAAAUAAAUAUCACUGAACAAUUGUGAAGAUAAAAAUAAAAUGUUAAAUUUGCUAAAAAAUAUAUUUAAUAUUAGGCAUGUUAAAAGAGAUGCAAUUAAAUUUUUUUUUUUUAUUUUACCUUCUAAGAGGAAAGCAGGGUCGCAAUGCACUUGGAAAGAGGUCACGCUCCUAUUGGGCUAAAAAAUGAAAAAGAAUGGCUUACACAGCAACGGCACCAAAUAGGAUAAUUUGAUCUCGGACUCUGAUUUAUGACUCGGGAAGCAACGCACAUCGGGUAGGUUGGGGGAGUAAACGGGGGUAGUUAUUUGGUCCCCGUAGCACGGGUACUGAUUUCUGGAAUUGCCCUAGUCAGAGGCGGCCGCACGUGCGGGAAAUCCUGUAGCAGCACUACGGGCAUUGCAGCCAUUGGGCGUCGGCGGGAAUAAAUUAUUCCGUGAACCCGGCGCACCCCUUUCUUUAUUACAAUUAGGUAAAAAACCCACCAAACUUACGUGAACUAAUUGCCUAAUUAUUUUAAAUUUUAAUUUUUACCAUCCAAUCUUCAAUUCUAUCUUAAUUUGAGUCAAUUAAUGAUACUUUAUUUUUAAAUUUUGAAAUAAUUAUUUGCCAUGAUAAAUAUAUACUUGUAAGAAUUGCAUGAAUUUUGUAGAUCUGAAUGAUAUCCGUUUUAUUUGAGUGUUUGAUUCGACGUUUGUAGUUAGUUUUUAUUCACUUGUUUAUUUAUUUAUUUCCUUUUUUUCAGAGGCCCUUGCUGCCUCACUCUAUGUGGCUAAAUUCAUUGACUAAAUAAAUAAAGCAGAUAGCGUGCUACCUUUCUCUCUCAAAAAAAAAAUGAAUUUUACUAACUACAUCUGUAAAGAUAAACUAUACAUUUAAUUUUACAGUAAAAAUACUAUUGACCGACUUAAAUCAAAUAAAUUAAAAUAUUAGAUAGCAAAAUUAAAAUUUUAAAAAGUUAAAUAGUCAACUCAAAAUAGUUUUUAAUUCAGAUAAAUUAUAUGUACAAUUUUAAAAUUUUGAUUCUAUUUCUCAACCUUCUAAUUUAUUUUUUUAAUACAAAAUUUAAAAUAAUUGCUUAUUUCAGUAAAUUUAUAGUUACAUAAAUUUUAUAAAAUAUAUAUACUAAUUAAAUAUGUAAGGAAAAAUGACGAGGCGUUGCACUGAUGACGCGGUGCACCGCGUUCAGGCAAUAAUUUCGUACCGUCUCCCUUGCGCAUCUUCUUUCUUUCUCUCUCGCGUCCGCGUAAUGGAGUAAGGACACCGCGACAUAACUAUUCGAAUUAAAUAAUUCAAAGCAGAGUUAUUAAAUUAUUCAAAGUAAAUUUUUUUUUAAAAAAGUAAUUAUUACGUUUGGUGUACGGAGAGGGGAGAGAGAGAGAGAGAGAGAGAAAGAGCGUAAUUCUUGUUGGAAGUUUCUGGGAGGGAACACUGUUUCAAAGGGAAAGAGUAUCGAUUUUCCUGUUCAAAGUUUCAAACUACAAUAAUAAACAUGUGAUCGAUCUAUCUAUCUACAUUUCUUCGAAUAUGUGCAUAGGAAAGUAAGUUGAGAUUAUAUAAAACCAAUAAAUAAAAUGGUGGAGAUUAAUUAUUGCACUCCAAUUAAUGUUAGCACAACGAAGAAAAUUAAAUUAAGCAGUGUAUAUAUAUAUAUAUAUAUAUAUUGUAACUGUAGAUUAAUUAAUUUAAUUGGUGAACAGUACUGGACAAGCCAUUAACGAAUUUAGAUUAAUAAUUACGUACUUCUUUAAAAUCAAGAAAUAGUUAAUGAGCUAUAAUUAAUUAAGAGAUGGACUGAUGAAAUUGUUGUUAUUCUCUCUCUCUCUCUCUCUCGCUCUUUCUUUUCUCUAGGAAUUAAUUUCUUUUUUUUUCCCAGUUAAUUUUCCGGUUAUAUACCUCUGGCGAGCUCCUCGAUCCACAGAUUAGAACCAAAUUGUAUAUAAUUUAAAUCAUAAUCCUCCCGAGUUUCCCUCUCUCUCUCUCUCUCUCUCUCUCUNAGAGAGGUUUGGAUGCAUAUUGAAACUCCAUAUACUGUCUUGCAGUAUAGCCCAAUCCCACUUUGGCAUCUGGUGAUUCAAACCAUCCAUUGAUUCUUAAGACACAACUACAAACUUUUCAGACCAAAAUCUUAAAAUCUGAAGUUGCUACAGUCUAGAGCAACUCCUCAAUCCCCAUUCCUCCACAAUGAAACUGUGACUAACUCCGACAAAAUAAAGAUCACUUUAUCGAGAUCACGAUAUCUAACCUAUAAAUGAUAAAAUAUUUCUCGAAGAAAAAAAGCAUAAUUUUGCAAAUAGCAAACUCACCGUAAGUUAGAAAUAGAUACAUAUACUCGAUCUAUAGAUCAUUACUGAAUCCAAUAUCACAUCACAGAAACCCUAAAUUGCCUAAUAGCUUGAGUCGACACUCCCCAAACUCAUCAUACGAUCCCCGACUCUCCACUGAGCUAACAAAUCAAACCAAGAACCAGAAACAAUCUACAGGAGCCCCAAACCCCUGCAACAAAGAUUCACCCCCGAGAAGACACAAAGCUCUGAUCAAGAACUCGACCGAUCGCAACAACUCAACUCGUUGACCUCACGAGACACUCCAUUUUCCGAUCCAUUGUGGCCGAAACCCUAGAAAGCAAGAAGUUCAAAACCAAAAAAAAAAAAAAAAAAAGAAAAAAGAAAAAAAUGGGAAGAGAUUGGAGUGGUGGAAAGGGGUGGGUCCCCCAAGUAGUAAUCACUAGGUGGGGCCUGUUGUGCUUGGACGUGACAUGGUUCUCUGUUUUCAGAGGAUUCCUAUUGUCGAAGCCUAAUCUCAAGCUAGAGUUCAAUCGCCCAUCCUAUUGGUGGACGCCACAUUACACUCUGCUACAAGGAGUCCUUUUGUUUGAUUGGAUGUAUUUGUAACUACUAAUACAUCCAACUACUACAGAUCGAUAUACUGCCGUUAAGAUUUGUAUUUAUAAAUUCUAUCAAUUUUUAAAUAAAAAUAUAAGAUUAUUUUUUUUGAGCAUAACGUAAUUAUAUUUUAUUUAUUAAUUAAGAUUUUUUUAUCUAUAUAUAAUUUAUGUAUUAUAAAAUUAUAUAUAAAUCUAAAAAAUUUUAAAUACAAAUAUAUUAUAGAUUUCGUCAAAAAAAAAUUAAGAUAUUAUUAAACUAGCAGACUGAAAAAAUGAAACGUAUGAAAAAAAAAUUAUUGACCCUAAUAAAUAUUAUUAAAUCCUAUCAGAUUUCAUGAAUAGAUAUUUUUGAAAAAAAAUAAAAAAAAAUGUAUGAAAAAAAAAUCACACUUUAUUUAUUUUUUUAAUGGGUGAGCCAUCUCCAAUAGCCGCAAGUUGGUACUACAGCUAAUUUGACUGUAGUACCAACUGCUGCAGUUGGGCCUUCUCGUGCAGAUACAACUGCCACAGUUGGACCUAACUAUACCAAACCAAAUAAAAAUUUAAUAAAUGCAUAUAUUUUCAACUGCAGUGUAUUUAGAAAUACAGGCAACCAAACAGUCCCUAAAAGGAAUAGAAAAUAACUUGCCUUUUCUUUUUUUUUUUCUUUUUAAAAAAAACUCUGCAGGCUAUGGGUCGGUAAAGUUCAGUUUGAAAUAAUAUUUUUGCUAAACUAAAUUUUAGAUACAAAUUAAUUUUCUUUCAUUAUUUGUUUGUAUAUUUAUGAAGCUAAGAUUUUUUCAAUUUUGCUAUUUAUUUAGCAAAAAAUGAAUGAGAUAAAAGCAAGUAGUGUGAAAAAUGAGUUACAUCUAGUUUGGUAAUAUAAUGACUAAACAAAUCAUUUUUAUACUUAAAAAAUUUAAAAAUAAAAAAAUGCCUACAAUCUUUUCUUUCUUUCUUAAUAUUGUAAUAUUACGAUUAUAACAGUCACAUGCUUCUCCGGUGCAUAUUAUAAUCGUAAUUUUAUAGUCCGAAAAAAAUUCUAUGUAUUUUUUAAGAUUUUUAAGUCUUUUAUGGUAUGAAAAUAAUGUUUCUAGCUGCACAUUACCAAAUUAGAUCUUAAUAUUUUAUUCUUUUUUCUUCGUCUUUUUUUCAAUUGACUUUGGUCUAAUGUGUGUUAAAGCCAGUUAUGUUAUUUUAAAAAAUUUAAGUUUCGAUCAAAAGAUAAAAUUAUGUCAAAUUAAAAUAACGAAAGUUGGCACUUACAGUUGAAAACUUCUUUGUUCCUUUUCACUUUCUCGUAAACAAACGUACCGUAUACUGCGGCACCGAUAUAAUUACUUGCUUUGAGGCAUGAAUUGAAUUGGACACAAGGGCAUGAGGGAGACAUCUAUCACUACACAUACUACGGUAACUGUGGACUUGAUAAAUCUUUUGUUCAAAGCACCAAAAAAAAAAAAAAAGAAAAAAAAAAGAAUAGUAAUAUAGUGCAUGCAAUUAAGUUUUCAUAAUUCUAAGAAGGCUUUUGUAAUCAGUAUUGUUUGCCAUGUUAAUAGUUGAACUUUUGAUUAAGUAGUUUUACUGCAUGCAACGCAUCUAAUUUCCCAAAAAAUUAUCACACUACAACAAAAAUGGUCUAUAGCGCCACUUUUAAAUGUUGGUAUAGGUUAAAAAAAGUGCUGCUGGCUAAAUUACCGACACUUUUAAAAUGUGUUGCUAUAUGUGGGGCCGCUAGGUAUAUAGUGACAGUUAAAGAGUGUCGUUAUAACCUAAAAAGAGUGCUGUUAAUUUAGCAACACUUAUUUAAGCAUCUAGCAACCGCCGGAACUCUACCUCGUUGGCUGCGAUGGCGGAGGAGGACGAGAGGGAAGGGCCCUUCGUCUAGGAUUUAAGUGGAAUGAGUGAGAGGAGUAGAGAUGGUAACCGAUUUUUCUUUAUUUUUUCUUUUCUGUUUGUAAUCGAGCUAAAUAGGCUGGGUUGGGUGGGUUGAGUAGAGUAGUAACUUUUUAUUUUUUGUGGGAUUCGGCUUUAUAUUUAGACAUUAGUAGAUAUUUUUUAAAAUUUUGGUAUAAAUGGAAUACUUAUAUAAAAGUGUCCCAAAUAUAUGUCGCUAUAACCUAAUUCUGUUGUAGUGUCAUAUCAUAUUUCUUUCGUAUUGUUAUGUGCAAUAGGGAUAGAAAACUACAUUAACGCUUCAAUAUCCACUCAUGUAAUGUUAAAGGUAUCGACGUGUACAUUCUUGGCCUGGAAUGGGCAUCUGAAUAAAUUGGUAAACAAAUGUCUUAUCAAAAUAAAAAAGUGGCUUUUUUCUGAAAACAGAAAAAAUAAGUUUCUCCAAAUAUUUUUUUUUUACUACAUGCUUUGUUUAUUUCAUUUAAAAAUAAACUUAGCUGGAAAUGUGAAUCAACUAGAAUUCGAAUUUGGGUCUCUGGUACCAACCACCAAGCCCUUUGCCACUUGCUCUAGGAACAGUUACUAAUUUCUACAAAUAUCUUAAAAUCAAAAUAAUUCAUGAUUUGAAAAAAUAGCGGGUAAAGAGAUAAAAUAUAACAAGAACAUAUA